Molecule: ribosomal RNA, 342 nt
Filed under: uncultured bacterium
Lineage: Bacteria
Description: bacterial SSU rRNA
Rfam family: Bacterial small subunit ribosomal RNA
Source: RNAcentral
CAUUUUGCUUCAUGGCGAGAUGUUGAAAGACGGUUUCGGCUGUCACUACAAGAUGGGCCCGCGGCGCAUUAGCUAGUUGGUAGGGUAAUGGCCUACCAAGGCGACGAUGCGUAGCCGACCUGAGAGGGUGAUCGGCCACACUGGGACUGAGACACGGCCCAGACUCCUACGGGAGGCAGCAGUAGGGAAUCUUCCACAAUGGACGAAAGUCUGAUGGAGCAACGCCGCGUGAGUGAAGAAGGUUUUCGGAUCGUAAAACUCUGUUGUAAGGGAAGAACACGUACGAGAGUAACUGCUCGUACCUUGACGGUACCUUAUUAGAAAGCCACGGCUAACUACGUG